UACAGAGGCCCCAAGCGUUACUGAGAAUCACUGGGUUUAAAGGGUGCGUAGGUGGUCCGUUAAGUCCGUUGUGAAAUCCCUGGGCUCAACCCAGGAAAUGCUUCGGAUACUGGCGGACUUGAGGCGAGUAGGGGUCACUGGAACUGACGGUGGAGCGGUGAAAUGCGUAGAUAUCGUCAGGAACGCCGAUGGUGAAGACAGGUGACUGGGCUCGAUCUGACACUGAGGCACGAAAGCGUGGGGAGCGAACGGG
RNAcentral lists this ribosomal RNA (253 nucleotides) under uncultured bacterium. RNAcentral's name for it is "partial 16S ribosomal RNA". It matches the Rfam family "Bacterial small subunit ribosomal RNA", at positions 524 to 776 of the family's 1533-position model. The record is from RNAcentral.